UCCCCCGAGGGUUCCGUUGUUCCUCAUCGUGCAGCCAGUGAGUGCAGCGUUCUCCCCCAGGGGUUCCGUUGUUCCUCAUUGUGCAACCAGUGAGUGCAGCGUGCUCCCCCGGGGGUUUUGUUGUUCCUCAUUGGGCUGUUGUCAUGCCUGUCGUUGGGGUCUCGUGCCCUGGCUCCAGGCUAACCAAACCCCCGGCACGAGUUGUGCCAAGGAACACAAAUGAAAUGCUUGGGGGGUGCUUUGCCCCCUUACAGUAUUAAACAAAACGACUCUUGACAACGGAUAUCUAGGCUCUUGCAUCGAUGAAGAACGUAGCGAAAUGCGAUACUUGGUGUGAAUUGCAGAAUCCCGUGAACCAUCGAGUUUUUGAACGCAAGUUGCGCCCGAAGCCUYCUGGCCGAGGGCACGCCUGCCUGGGCGUCAUAAUUCGUCACCCCUCCUACCAUGCCCUUGGGCUGACUGGGUCGGGGUGGAAUCUGGCUUCCCGCGUCCCCUAGGCGCGGCUGGCCGAAAUYUGGACGCACCAAGGCAUUGCCUGUAGCGGCCUAGGUGGAUCGAAAGGCCCUCUAAGUUUGCCGUGCAGUGCAGUGCCAUCGGUGCCCCAUGGCCCCUCUCGUGUUUUCCCUGUGCGGGAAAAUACUGUUGCGCGACCCCA
Molecule: ribosomal RNA, 655 nt
Filed under: Polypleurum schmidtianum
Lineage: Eukaryota; Viridiplantae; Streptophyta; Magnoliopsida; Malpighiales; Podostemaceae
Description: eukaryotic LSU rRNA
Source: RNAcentral